GAAGUAUCAUGUAAUGUUUGAUAUAUACGUACAUUAUGUAAUGUUUAAAUCAGGCUUAAACAUAUUUAUCUCCUCAAAUAUUACUCACUUCUUCAUGGUUUAUUCAAAUUUCCCCACAUUUUUUUAAAUUGAUGCCUUGUUUGUACAUACUGAUGGGAUUAAUUGUUCCAUAUUCAUACAUCCACAAUAUAACAAUAUAAUUUGGCCAUAUCACUCCUUGGCACUUUGCCCCUCUUCCCCACCUUUUACUCCUUUGUCUCUUUCUUCUGACCUCCCUUUAAGACUAGAAUUCUGACCAGAGUGUUCCACAGGAGCAAAUUAAUCAUCUAUAAUCCCAGUGGCUUGGGAGGCUGAGACAGGAGGAUCUCGAAUUCAAAGUCAGCCUCAGCAAAAGCAAGAUGCUAAGCGACUCAGUGAGACCCUGUCUCUAAAUAAAAUACCAAAUAGGGCUGGGGAUGUGACUUCGUAGCCAAGUGAUCCCGAGUUCAAUCCCCUACUCUGCCCCCGCCCCGCUAAUUCAAUCAUCUGUAGCCACAUGAUAUAGAUAAGGACUGAGUUAGACAGAGUCUAGCAAGCAUGAAACCUUGCACCCAGGCCAGGUGCUGGGGCAGAGUGAAUGACAUAGAUAAAGAGGCAGACACUAAAGACCUAGCUGUGUGUUGAAGGACAUGAGAAUGUUUGAAGAAGACAUAGGUAGCAGGUGAUGCUGGGAAGCUUUGUGAGACAAAGAAUAACUAUGAGGAAUAGGGUGGCAGUCAUCACUGGGGUCAGGUGACCCAGUGGCCCUCACUAGGCAGUCUGUCCUUUGGUGGCCAGAGAAAAGAGGCUUCAACAUGAACAGGGAAGCAUUUGGGUAUCUUGCUCUGCAUGUCCUACCUCAGUGCAUUCUUGACUGUAAUAAGAGGAGGAGGACCUGCUUGCUGAAGCUGACCCUCCUCCAAGACUACCAGCCACUAUUCACUGCCCCCACCACCACCACCCAUAGUUCCGCUUUUCUGGAACAGGCUCUUUUUAUUUAUUUGUUUAAUUCUGAGAACUCAUUUUGUUUGAGAAAAGAAAAAGGGAAGGUCAAGUUACUCAUUAAUCUCUCUCUUAUCUACUCAAGUCUCCAGUUACACCAUACUUUCUAGAGCCCUACAUAGCAACCACUACAGAGGGAAUAAACGCUUCUAAGAGCUUGAAAUUUAUAUGAGAUGCCAGCAUUCUGAUUAUCAGCAUAUAAGUUCUUGGUGGUUCAGUUUUCCUCUGUUGCUGUCAUCUAAACAAAAAUAUCCUCUAUUUCAGUGUCCCUCCUUGACCAGGUAUUAUAAAGCUGGAGAAAUCUCCAAUUACCUGUUGGCAGGAAAGGAGCCAAUCGACUUCAAGAGAAUAAGAUCAGAGGUUCAUGAACUCUGAAGUGACUUCACAGAGAAGCAAAUGUGUGUACCUGAAGACGCCUAAGCUGUCCCAGGGUCCAGCAAAACUCCACCUCUUAGUCUGCAUUCCUCUCACCCCUCACCCUCUUUCCUGUGCUGAAAGCACACAGCAUCUAGUCAGGGGACAAGACUGUAGAUAUGAAAAACUGUUUCAAUCAUUUAAAGGAAGAAGCUGCUUUCUAGGAGUUCUGGCUUAAAAGUCUGUCAUUUUCCUUUCUUAUUUUAAAAUGUUCAUGAUAUGGAAUGAGCUCAUUAUAGAGAAUUUGGAAAAUACAGAAAGAUAUGAAAAUUAAUGAGACAUGUUAAUAUUAAUGUCACACAUCACAUUAUCUGCCAACCAUUUUCUAUAUAUGUUUCUUUAUACAAACACAUAUAUUUUGAUUUAUUAAAUAGAGCCCUACAUAGCGACCACUACAGAGGGAAUAAACAUAUUCCCUCUGUAUUUUAUAGAGCAGAACCUACUUCUUUAAAUAAAUUGGAGUAAAAUACAUGAUAUAUCAAUUUUCAUCUCCUCUAGGGAAGAAAAGCAAUUUUUUUCUUCACUGGAAAGGUGCUAAAUGAUUGUGGUGGAGAACCGUCAAGACUGCUCAAAAGAAUUAUCUAGAAAAAAAAAAUGGAACUCCAGAUAUUUUCUAAGUUCUGUCUCAAAAACCCACUUUGUAACAUGUUCUGAAUAAAAGAAAAAUUUUAAAAUUAAAUAAUAAUUAUUAUAAAUGUAACUAGUUUACUAGUAUACCCUAGGUUAACUUUAAAAAGCACAACUUUUAAGAAUUUAUUAGUGAACGGGUACUAAGUUACACUCGGGAAGAGUAAACUCUGGUUUUCUAUUUCACAGCAGGGUGACUACAGAUCUAAAAAGCUAGAAGAGGGCUGCCUUGUGGCUCAGUGGUAGAGCACUUGCCUAGCACGUGCAAGGCCCUGGGUUCGAUUCUCAGCACCACAUAGAAAUAAAUAAAUAAAGGUAUUGCGUCCAACUAAAAAAAUAAAUAUUAAAAAAAAAGCUAGAAGAUUUUGAAUGUUUUCACUACAAAGAAAUGAUAAAUGUUUAAGAAGACAUAUAUGUUUACUUUGAUUUGAAUAUUAUACAGUAUGUACAUGUAUCCAAAUAUCACAUGGUACCUCAGAAAUGUGCAGUUUUUGUGUGUCAAUUGCUUUGAAAAGAACUUUAUCAAAUCGAUAAUCAUGCAUUGAGGGCUGGGGUUGUGGCUCAGCGGUAGAGCACUUGCCUAGCACAUGCAAGGCCCUGGGUUCCAUCCUCAGCACCACAUAGAAAUAAAUAAAUAAAAAAAAGGUAAUGUGUCCAACUACAACUAAAAAAUAAAUUUAAAAAAAAAAAUAAUCAUGCAUUAACAUCUUAAAAUCAGUAUCCCUAUACUUUCAGUCAUUCCACAUCUUUAUAGAUCAGAAACUUGUUAUGAUAUUAUUUGCCAUGAUAAUGAUCUCUAGAAACUAUCAGAAUAUUUGUGAAUAUUGAGUAAUAUCUUUGAAUCUAGCUUUCACUAAUUUCUGGGUAAUUCUGUGUUUUAAUCACUCCUUUAAAUUUCUAUUUUACCACAUUUACUUUGACACCAAUAUAGGGAUUAAGGGAGACACCAAUUUGAAUUUCAACUUAAAAUAUUGCAAGAUAGAAAAAAACCCCAGCAUAAGCGAAGUCCACUGACAUAGACAUAUAUAUAUCUGUGUAUGUGUAUGUAUAUGUGUGUGUGUGUAUAUAUAUAUAUAUGUGUGUGUGUAUAUAUAUAUAUAUAUAUGACUAUGUAUAUUGACUACAUACAACUUAUACCAUACACAAAGGGUAAUUGCCUUAUUAUUUAGGAAGUCCUUAAAAAUUAAAAAUGGCUACCAACUCUCCCCACUAAAAGAUGGGCAAAUAACAUAUGGCCAGGUCACCAAGGAAACAAGGGUAACUAGUCUGCAAAUUUUCGAAAUGAUACUCAAUGGUGGGUGUUUGCUCAGUUGGCUCUUUAGUUCUCUAUUAUUUCUUAGAAUUUGAAGAAGAAGAUUUCAAAGGAAGACUAGAAACUAAAUGAGAAUUAGCCUUUCUUAGAAUUACUAUUUUCCAUCACAAGAAAACAAUUCUGUUUUUUUGUUUGUUUUUCCUAAAGUGGAGUGGACCAGUGAGCCAUGGGAUUAUUAAAUAUUUGAUGACUCUGACUUUUUAAUUGCAAGAAAGCCAUGAGUUUUGUUUUUUUUUCUAUUUCAUCAAUUGCCAUGGGGAAUACUACAUAUACUACGAAAAAUGCCUCAUUGCCUAACUUGUAUUGUUAAGUAAUUCUGUUAACCUCUGGCCUUACAUUUUUCAUCUAAAACAGCGGCUGGGCCAAUUACUCUACAAAGCUAUUAAUGUCUGACAUUCUUUGUUUUGUUUACUUAAAAAAAUAGAAUAAAUAUGAGAUGUAAUGUCAUUUAAAUCUAUGACAUUUAAAUAAAAUUUUCACCAUUAAAAUGAGAAAAGAAUAAAAGAUUUAUCUUUGCAAAUCUACUUAUGGA
This 3905-nucleotide long non-coding RNA is filed under the name Marmota monax (woodchuck). The stretch from base 2287 to 2358 matches the Rfam family "tRNA". The record is from RNAcentral. Lineage: Eukaryota; Metazoa; Chordata; Mammalia; Rodentia; Sciuridae.